Molecule: Y RNA, 99 nt
Organism: Callithrix jacchus (white-tufted-ear marmoset)
Lineage: Eukaryota; Metazoa; Chordata; Mammalia; Primates; Cebidae
Rfam family: Y RNA
About the family: Y RNAs are components of the Ro ribonucleoprotein particle (Ro RNP), in association with Ro60 and La proteins. The Y RNAs and Ro60 and La proteins are well conserved, but the function of the Ro RNP is not known. In humans the RNA component can be one of four small RNAs -- hY1, hY3, hY4 and hY5.
Source: Ensembl
GUCCGGUCUGAAGAGAGUGAGCUAUCUCGACUGACUGUUCAGUUACAGAAUUUGUUCUACUCCUCCUCCCUUCUCACUAAUGCCCUUGAUUAGUCUUUC